Molecule: ribosomal RNA, 323 nt
Filed under: uncultured eukaryote
Lineage: Eukaryota
Description: partial 18S ribosomal RNA
Rfam family: Eukaryotic small subunit ribosomal RNA
Source: RNAcentral
CCCCUAGACGUUCUAGGCCGCACGCGUUCUACAAUGACGUAUUCAACGAGUUUCUUCCUGGCCUGGAAAGGUUCGGGUAAUCUUCAUAGGAUACAGUCGUGCUUUGGGAUUGUCCUUUGCAAUUAUAGGACAUAAACUAGGAAUACCUAGUAUAGGUGCGUCAUCAGCGCACCUAGAUUAAGUCCCUGCCCUUUGUACACACCGCCCGUCGCUCCUACCGAUUUUGAGUGAUUAGGUGAACCUUCUGGAUCAGCGGACUCUUCAAGGCUCUGCUGAGAAGUUAAGUAAAUCAUUAUCACUUAGAGGAAGGAGAAGUCGUAACA